GAAAUGCGAUAAGUAAUGUGAAUUGCAGAAUUCAGUGAAUCAUCGAAUCUUUGAACGCACAUUGCGCCCGCCAGUAUUCUGACGGGCAUGCCUGUUCGAGCGUCAUUUCAACCAUCAAGCCCCCGGCUUGUGUUGGGGACCUGCGGCUGCCCGCAGGCCCUGAAAAACAGUGGCGGGCUCGCUGUCACACCGAGCGUAGUAGCAUACAUUCUCGCUCAGGGCGUGCUGCGGGUUCCGGCCGUUAAACGACCUUCAUAACCCAAGGUUGACCUCGGAUCAGGUAGGAAGACCCGCUGAACUUAAGC
Molecule: unclassified non-coding RNA, 305 nt
Filed under: plant metagenome
Description: partial contains 5.8S ribosomal RNA, internal transcribed spacer 2, and large subunit ribosomal RNA
Rfam family: 5.8S ribosomal RNA (bases 1-105)
Source: RNAcentral